GAUGAACGCUAGCGAUAGGCUUAACACAUGCAAGUCGAGGGGCAGCACAAGGUAUCUUGCUAUCUGGGUGGCGACCGGCGCACGGGUGCGUAACGCGUAUGCAACUUGCCCUAUACAGGAGGAUAACCCGUCGAAAGACGGACUAAUACUGCGUAUGCUCACAACUUGGCAUCAAGUGGUGAGGAAAGAAAUUCGGUAUAGGAUAGGCAUGCGUCCCAUUAGCUUGUUGGUGAGGUAACGGCUCACCAAGGCAACGAUGGGUAGGGGAACUGGGAGGUUUAGCCCCCACACUGGUACUGAGACACGGACCAGACUCCUACGGGAGGCAGCAGUGAGGAAUAUUGGUCAAUGGGCGCGAGCCUGAACCAGCCAAGUCGCGUGAAGGAUGACUGUCUUAUGGAUUGUAAACUUCUUUUAUACGGGAAUAACAAGAGUCACGUGUGACUCCCUGCAUGUACCGUAUGAAUAAGCAUCGGCUAACUCCGUG
This 487-nucleotide ribosomal RNA is filed under the name uncultured bacterium. RNAcentral's name for it is "partial 16S ribosomal RNA". It matches the Rfam family "Bacterial small subunit ribosomal RNA", at positions 28 to 507 of the family's 1533-position model. The record is from RNAcentral.